RNAcentral lists this ribosomal RNA (998 nucleotides) under Bacillus subtilis. Its description in RNAcentral is "bacterial SSU rRNA". It matches the Rfam family "Bacterial small subunit ribosomal RNA", at positions 52 to 1016 of the family's 1533-position model. The record is from RNAcentral. Lineage: Bacteria; Bacillati; Bacillota; Bacilli; Caryophanales; Bacillaceae.
UGAAUCCAAGCUGUUCGGGGCGCUAUAGAUGAUCUUGGCUCAGAUACGAUAGCGUGGUCGCUGAACUUCAGCGGAGCCUGAGUACACGUGGGUAACCUGCCUGUAGACUGGGAUAUCUCCGGGACCCGGGGCUAAUACCGGAUGGUUGUUUGAACCGCAUGGUUCAAACAUAAAAGGUGGCUUCGGCUACCACUUACAGAUGGACCCGCGGCGCAUUAGCUAGUUGGUGAGGUAGCGGCUCACCAAGGCAACGAUGCGUAGCCGACCUGAGAGGGCGACCAAAACAUACUGGCACUGACCCAGAAAAAAAAAAUCAGGGGGAGGCAGCAAUAGGGAAUCUUCCGCAAUGAACGAAAGUCUGACGGAGCACGCCGCGUGAGUGAUGAAGGUUUUCGGAUCGUAAAGCUCUGUUUGUUAGGGAAGAACAAGUACCGUUCGAAUAGGGCGGUACCUUGACGGUACCUAACCAGAAAGCCACGGCUAACUACGUGCCAGCAGCCGCGGUAAUACGUAGGUGGCAAGCGUUGUCCGGAAUUAUUGGCGUAAAGGGCUCGCAGGGCGGUUUCUUAAGUCUGAUGUGAAGCCCCCGGCUCACCGGGGAGGGUCAUUGGAAACUGGGGAACUUGAAUGCAGAAGAGGAAAGUGGAAAUUCUACGUGUAGCGGUGAAAUGGCGUAGAGAUGUGGGAGGGACACCAGUGGGCGAAGGUGACUCUUCUGGUCUGUUAACUGACGCUGAGAAGCGAAAGGCGUGGGGGAGCAACAGGAUUAAGUAUCCCCUGGUAGUCCACGCCCGUAAACGAUGAGUGCCUAGGUGUUAGGGGGUUUCCCGCCCCCUUAAUGGAUGGCGACUAACGCAUUUAGGCCCUCCCGGCGUGGGGGAGUACGGUCCGAAAGAAUGAAAACUCUCAAAGUGAAUGUGCCGGGGGGCCACGCACAAAGCGCGUUGGAACUCAUGUGGUUUUUAAAUUCCCAAACCAAAGCGAAAAAACCCUUUUCC